Molecule: ribosomal RNA, 203 nt
Filed under: uncultured bacterium
Lineage: Bacteria
Description: partial 16S ribosomal RNA
Rfam family: Bacterial small subunit ribosomal RNA
Source: RNAcentral
UACGUAGGGUGCAAGCGUUUGUCCGGAAUUAUUGGGCGUAAAGAGCUCGUAGGCGGCUUGUCGCGUCGAAUGUGAAAUCGUCAGGGCUCAACCUCUGACAUUGCAUUCGGAGUACGGGCAGGCUAGAGUUCGGUAGGGGAGGAGCUGGAAUUCCUGGUGUAGCGGUGAAAUGCGCAGAUAAUCAGGAGGAACACCAGCGGCGA